RNAcentral lists this unclassified non-coding RNA (1097 nucleotides) under Hevea brasiliensis (rubber tree). Lineage: Eukaryota; Viridiplantae; Streptophyta; Magnoliopsida; Malpighiales; Euphorbiaceae. The record is from RNAcentral.
GAGAAUCAUCUCUUUCUACACUAACAUAUAGGAUUUUAUGUGUCUUCUUUGUCUAUGCAAGUGAACCAUGAAAGAAUAGAAAUUAUCAAACUAAGAAAAUUAAACAGGGCAAAGCUCUUCAAAGAAAAUCCUAUUGAACAUCUUUGCAUAGUUUAAAAUAUCUCCUAUAGAUGUAUAAUUCUCUGCCAGAUUGCAUUUGCGAAUUACUGUAUAUCACAUCAGUAGCUUAUAUCUGCUUAAACCAUCUUGUGGUUUUCUUGAGUAAGUAGAUAUCACUCUAAAUAAUUAAUCCAACCUUCACAAGGGAUUUUACACCAUUGUAGAAUGCAUGCACCAUUAGUUGUUCUAAUCUUUACUAUAGUCUAUAUGGCAUUCAACCAACCUAUUAGAAACCAAAUUAUUCUAGGAUAUUCAUGUGUCAACUCAAUCAAUGUUGGUUAAUUCACUAGCAUUACAUAUAAAUUGAAUUGUUAAAAAAAUAAGCACAGAUUGCAUGAAUAUUUAUAUAAAAUGGAAAAGAUGAUGACUAAAACAGCACCCCUAUAAAGCAUAAAACAAAAAUGAAAUUUAUAGUUACAAUUUUUGGAGACAACUGUUGAUAACUGCAGUGCCUACUAUAUCAUUGAUUUGUCAACAAGUUUGUGUCAUGUCACUUUGUCAGGCCAGAAUUCGAAAUCUUUAUUAUUAAAAUCAGAGCAUCAUGGCCUUUAUAAAACUAUUCAAUCAGCAAGUGUGAAAUUAUUGUAGGGUCACCACUUGGUAAAAUAAGGUCAAACUCCUCAGAUUGUAACCAAAAGGAUGCAGGUUCAAGUCUUGGGAGCAAUCAAUGUAAAAACGCCAAACCUUUACAUAAGCAAUCACAAACUAGCUAAAUUCCUAAGUUACAAGUCAGACUUAAAAUUUAUCUGCUAAAGCCUAAUCCUUCACUCAAAGUUCUCUAACUUCUAACAAUAAACCUAAGCUUCUAAGACUCACAUCCAGCAAAUUCCAAAAAUCAGAAAUGUUUUAUUCUUUGUAGAGAAGCUACUUAAAAGUUUUAAAUAACAGAAUUGAUCAUGUGUGGUAUUGUAGCUUUGGACCCUAUCUGUCAUAUCUGA